UCUUCCCACCCUGAGGAAGAAUCUGAGUUUAAAUGAAUCACUUGUUAACUUCCCUAAGUGGCCAACACCUAGGUAACUGCUUCCAGUGCCAUGGUAGGGGCAAGCAAAGCAGGCUGCAAGAAACUAGGACAUGGAAAGCAGGCUUAAAGGAGAGACACGCCAUUGCUCCAGCAGCAGAAGCCUUGGGAAGAACAGCAACAAAAUCAGUUUAGAGUUUUUCCUUAGGUUGCAGUCAUGGGGCAGACUUCACUACCUAUUUUUACUUUGGACCGGAAAUCCUGGCUUUUUUACUUCUUUUUGUCAUCAGCACAAUGGGAAAUUAGCUCCUGAAGUCUUACUAAGUCUUUACUGGCAGUCUUUAAAGGCCUCGGAUCUCACAAGACACUUCAUUCAUCUGGCGACCCCCAGGCUACAAGAGCACCAGGGUGCUCUCCCUCCCACCCCCUCCCCUGCACUCCCUUCCUCAAAGCAGAGAUAAGAGCACAGCUAUUUUAAAAGCAGGAAAGGAAAUAAAAGCACCCACUUCAGAUCAUAUGCCGCUGUCAUUCCAUAAUUAACUUCACCUACAUUUUCAAAGGAAAAACAAAAAUGCAAAAAUAAUUCAAAAAUAAUUUCAAACCACUCUUUCCCCAACAUGUUAGUCAUCUCAUUCUUGAUACUGAUAUCAAUAAAACGAAGUGGAGACUUC
Molecule: long non-coding RNA, 688 nt
Organism: Columba livia (rock pigeon)
Lineage: Eukaryota; Metazoa; Chordata; Aves; Columbiformes; Columbidae
Exons: 2
Source: RefSeq, a predicted model, not a curated record